GUGAUUUUGGAGGGCAAGUCUGGUGCCAGCAGCCGCGGUAAUUCCAGCUCCAAUAGCGUAUAUUAAAGUUGUUGCAGUUAAAAAGCUCGUAGUUGAAUUUCGGGGUUAGUAGGUUGGUCAUGCCUCUGGUAUGUACUGGUCUCACUGAUUCCUCCUUCCUUAUGAACCGUAAUGCCAUUAAUUUGGUGUUGCGGGGAAUUUGGACUGUUACUUUGAAAAAAUUAGAGUGUUUAAAGCAAGCUAACGCUUGAAUACAUUAGCAUGGAAUAAUGAAAUAGGACGUUCGAUCYUAUUUUGUUGGUUUCUAGGAUUGACGUAAUGAUUAAUAGGGAUAGUUGGGGGCAUUAGUAUUCAAUUGUCAGAGGUGAAAUUCUUGGAUUUAUUGAAGACUAACUACUGCGAAAGCAUUUGCCAAGGAUGUUUUCAUUAAUCAAGAACGAAAGUUAGGGGAUCGAAGACGAUCAGAUACCGUCGUAGUCUUAACCAUAAACUAUGCCGACUAGGGAUCGGAUGAUGUUAAUUUUUUAAUGACUCAUUCGGCGCCUUACGGGAAACAAUCGAAUUCCCG
Molecule: ribosomal RNA, 568 nt
Filed under: uncultured Glomus
Lineage: Eukaryota; Fungi; Glomeromycota; Glomeromycetes; Glomerales; Glomeraceae
Description: SSU rRNA
Rfam family: Eukaryotic small subunit ribosomal RNA
Source: RNAcentral